UCGAGAAUAUUCCGCAAUGGGCGAAAGCCUGACGGAGCGACGCCGCGUGCAGGAAGAAGUGCUUCGGUAUGUAAACUGCUUUUAUGGGGGAAGAAAUUAUUGACGGUACCCCAGGAAUAAGAGGUUGCUAAACUCGUGCCAGCAGCAGCGGUAAUACGAGUGCCUCGAGCGUUAUCCGGAAUCAUUGGGCGUAAAGGGUGUGUAGGUGGUCUGAUUAGUCUCUUGUUAAAAAUCUCGGCUCAACCGAGGGGAUGCAAGGGAAACGGUCAAACUAGAGGAUGCGAGGGGUCUGUGGAACUCAUGGUGUAGCGGUGAAAUGCGUUGAUAUCAUGGGGAACACCAAAAGCGAAGGCAGCAGACUGGAGCAUUCCUGACACUGAAACACGAAAGCGUGGGUAGC
This 400-nucleotide ribosomal RNA is filed under the name uncultured bacterium. Its description in RNAcentral is "bacterial SSU rRNA". It matches the Rfam family "Bacterial small subunit ribosomal RNA", at positions 355 to 769 of the family's 1533-position model. The record is from RNAcentral.